UACGGAGGGGGCAAGCGUUAUUCGGAAUCAUUGGGCGUAAAGGGCGCGUAGGCGGCUUGGCAAGUCAAAGGUGAAAUCCCUCGGCCUAACCGAGGAACUGCCUUUGAAACUGCUUGGCUUGAGGCCGGGAGAGGGUAGCGGAAUUCCCAGUGUAGCGGUGAAAUUCGUAGAUAUUGGGAGGAACACCAGUGGCGAAGGCGGCUACCUGGACCGGUUCUGACGCUGAGGCGCGAAAGCGUGGGGAGCAAACAGG
RNAcentral lists this ribosomal RNA (253 nucleotides) under uncultured bacterium. RNAcentral describes it as "partial 16S ribosomal RNA". It matches the Rfam family "Bacterial small subunit ribosomal RNA", at positions 524 to 776 of the family's 1533-position model. The record is from RNAcentral.